UACGGAGGGUGCAAGCGUUGUCCGGAUUUAUUGGGUUUAAAGGGUGCGUAGGCGGCCCGUUAAGUCAGUGGUGAAAGCCUCCAGCUCAACUGGAGAACUGCCAUUGAUACUGACGGGCUUGAGUACAGACGAGGUUGGCGGAAUUGAUUGUGUAGCGGUGAAAUGCAUAGAUACAAUCAAGAACCCCGAUUGCGUAGGCAGCUCGCUGAGCCGAAACUGACGCUGAGGCACGAAAGCGUGGGGAGCGAACAGG
RNAcentral lists this ribosomal RNA (253 nucleotides) under uncultured bacterium. RNAcentral's name for it is "partial 16S ribosomal RNA". It matches the Rfam family "Bacterial small subunit ribosomal RNA", at positions 524 to 776 of the family's 1533-position model. The record is from RNAcentral.